Long non-coding RNA from Physeter macrocephalus (sperm whale), 499 nucleotides. RefSeq lists it as uncharacterized. The record is from RefSeq and is a predicted model, not a curated record. The transcript has 4 exons. NCBI's taxonomy places the organism in Eukaryota, Metazoa, Chordata, Mammalia, Artiodactyla, Physeteridae.
GCAAGAUCACCAGCAAUAAGCAUCCGACCAGGACUCAGACCCAUGUAGCCAGACUCCAGAGUCCUGUACUACUGUACUGUGCAGCCUGGCUUACAGGAUCUUAGUUCCCCGACUGGGGAUCGAACCCAGGCUCCCAGCAUUGGAAGCAAGAUUCCCAACCACUGGACCACCAGGGAAUCCUCUGUUGAUCUUAAAAAGUAUGGAGAAAUUCUGAGAAACAGAAUUGAUGAAACAAAAGGUUCCCAGUCAGGCAGCAUAUGUACAAGCAGAAUGGAAGGCCAUGCUCUAAGUAUUUGAUCAAUGAUCUGCUGUCUCUGAAGGACUCUCUGGUAAAAACUCCAAUGGAGGGCAUCACUUAUGCUUGGAGGGGCUCAGCCAUGCUAGGGUCUGCUGCCUGCAGGAAGCACGGGAAUGAGGAAUUGACUGAGCACGGCUAACCUGGUGGCAUAUCAUGUGGUGACUCUGACUACUAGUAAAAUGUGGUCCCUGAACAUCUGGG